RNAcentral lists this transfer RNA (60 nucleotides) under Gemmatimonadales bacterium. RNAcentral describes it as "tRNA-OTHER". The record is from RNAcentral. Lineage: Bacteria; Pseudomonadati; Gemmatimonadota; Gemmatimonadia; Gemmatimonadales.
AGCUCAGUGGAUAGAGCAGCGGUUCCUAAACCGCGUGCGCUGGUUCAAUUCCGGCCGGGG